AACUAUCAUCAUCAGAUAUCUUAGAUCUUACAACAAUGAAGAAAACAAUAAAAUACUAUUUGUAGUGUCAAUUGUAAAAUUUUGCAAAUCAUUGAGUUUUUGAAUGCAAGUUGUGCUCAAGGAUCCUUUGGAAGUUGAGUGAAA
RNAcentral lists this ribosomal RNA (144 nucleotides) under Physcomitrium patens. RNAcentral's name for it is "Physcomitrella patens 5.8S ribosomal RNA". It matches the Rfam family "5.8S ribosomal RNA". From Rfam's summary of the family: 5.8S ribosomal RNA (5.8S rRNA) is a component of the large subunit of the eukaryotic ribosome. It is transcribed by RNA polymerase I as part of the 45S precursor that also contains 18S and 28S rRNA. The record is from Rfam by way of RNAcentral. Lineage: Eukaryota; Viridiplantae; Streptophyta; Bryopsida; Funariales; Funariaceae.